This is a long non-coding RNA of Dicentrarchus labrax (European seabass), 3589 nucleotides long. RefSeq lists it as uncharacterized. The transcript has 2 exons. The record is from RefSeq and is a predicted model, not a curated record. NCBI's taxonomy places the organism in Eukaryota, Metazoa, Chordata, Actinopteri, Moronidae.
UUUCCUUCGAACAACAUCUCUUUGUUUCAUUGGACUAGAUUCAUCAGAUUCAAAAUCCAGCAAGGCCAUUAGCUACUCAAAUGUUCCUGCUUCCUGCCUUCAGUGUCAUCUGAUGGUCAGGCCCCACCAACUCCAAGGACAGCCAGGAAAAAGUAACUACCAAUAACAGUCAUUACAACUAUUUGGGCUUUCUGGGAUCUAUUUAUUUGCCAUGAAAGGAAUGAUUUUGUUCUCUUUAUUUCAAUUCAUGGCUGUGUUUUCAUUCAGCUGUUUCUUUACUACAGUCAGCCAGACUGUAUUAUAGCAGUUAUAUUUACUGUAACUGAACCUUGUGUGUGAAAGGGGACUGCCCAAACAGAUUAGGCUACAAAAGAUCAUCAUCAUGUUUUUUCAUUUCAAAUGUCAUGAUGUGUCCUAUGAUAUUUUUGCUUUUUAUUGUUCAUUGUUUAUACCGUUGCCCUUAGUAACCCACCUCUGGUAUGCAUAUUUCUCUGGGACAUCUCAGGAGUCACCAAGUAAGUAAUAAAAAUGUUUCUCUGAGUCACUUCGAGUGCAGUGGAGAAUGCGACAAGGGCGGGCAGUCGGAGGAAGCUUUUCCUCUAUCGUUUCUAUCAAAUUUAAUAGAUUUUUGUACUAAAGGACUGGAAUUGUAAUUAUGAGUUUGUCUUAUUUUUCAUUAUUCAUUUAUAAACCAAACAGUUCUGAAUCAGUUGUUUAUGUGUUGACACUGAUGCAAAAAGUCAAAUAUAGUUGCAGGAAGUGAUCCAAUAAGGGCCUGAACUACCACUUCUGGGGUAAAAUAGAGUUUCUGUUUUGUUCCUCGACACUUAUUGUCCUUAACUCCUAUCUGCACUGCUCAGUAGCCAAUGGUAGAUUGCUGUGGUUGUUUUUGGCAACUCUCACAACAGCUAAAAGUCAAACUGUCACCAGGAUCUCACAUUCUGUUGUUUAACUGUUGUGGAGAAAAACUGAAUGUAUUAGCAUCUGCCUUUCUAAAAAAAUUGCAAUGCAAUUUCUGUAAUUUGUGCGCAAUUUUUCAAGAAGCAUUUAACAUUUUCAGCUGUUUGCUCAGCUCUGACGGAGAAAAAAAUGUCAGUGGAAAUCAUAUUACAUUGGCAAUAACAUAACUACAUGUUGGACUGUAAAAAAAAAAGCAAAAAUAAUCCAUGGAUUGGAUGAAGCUGCAGGUAAAUUUUGCCUUAAAAUUUGCAAGAUCGCUAACUCUGGUUUAAAAGAACUUGAACUUGUUGAAAAUCUGCACGUUACAGCAUUUUUUUGCUCCAUGGUUCAGACAGUGCUUCUGUUUUGAAUAUUAUACCACACGUUGUAAACAGGGGAUGUUUACAGACAGAGAACAGAUGACAAGCUGCAUUACUCAAGUUCAAAACCACAAAUUCCCAAUUACAUGGCAUGAACCUCAGACCACGGGGCCACCAAAACCUGGAAUCCCUCUCAUCACAUAUAGAUGUCUCUCAGCUGCCUUUUCAAACUCCAGUCAGUGUUACACACACAAUAACAGAAUACAUCAAGGUGUGAAAUAAUAAAAAUAAAAUUGGGUUGCAUAUAAACCUCAUUUCACAGCAGCUUCAGCCAGAUUCCUCCAGUGCUAAUACUGUACUUUAACCAGGAGAGAGGAUCUUUCAGGCAACCUGAGUCGAACCAAUCACAAGAUAAGGGAGAACUUUAGUUUCUAAUAGGUUCAUGAUGGCAUUUCGUCCCCUCUGUCCUCUUGAUGCUCUCCUGCCCUUCCUCUCACACCCCUUCCUAUAAUCUGUUUCCUUCCCUUGUCCAUUUUUCCCUUUUCCUCACUCCUUCCCCCCCUCAUUCACUUUCUCCUUUCCCAGCUUCCCUUAUUUCUCUUUCAUCAUCCAUUAUUACUCCAGUCUUCCUAUGUCCUGCGGCCGCCCUUUCUCUCCUUCACCCUCUUUCUUUGCAUGUCUCUCCUCUUCUCUCCCUUCCACCCUUACCCCCUCCGCUUUCUGUCUCUCUGUGCUGCCUGCCCUGGUUUCAUUGACAGACUGCAGGCGGUGAGGGGGAGGAAAUGCUGUGGCAUUGCACAGCAAACAUCCCUAAUAGGCUAAUCUAAUCUCAUCUCUUUGCGGUCUAUGGCCCUGUGUUUACUUUCGGCCCUGUGUCUGCACGCUGGCUCGGCCUCGCCUCGCUGAAUGCGGCUUUGUUCCUGCUGAAAACUCAUCAUCGGUGUGAUCUCUGGAACGGGCGCCAACUCCACGACCGUCUGCCCAUAAUGCCUGCAGGCCGGGGAUCGUUGUCAUCCGUGCACAGCCUCUGUAGCUGUUGUUGUUUAUUUUUUAUUAGGUUUUGUUUCAUUGAAGAAACAAGGUAGCGUGCAGAGUCCUGAGGGUACUGCUCUGUAUCUGACCCUGACCACCAACCUCCCUGUGGGGUUGUUCUAAUGAAGAGAGAUACUGCAUUUUACUCUACAGCCAACAGCGCAGUAUACCAGGAGGAGAUAAAACCACACUACUGCGAGGUGAGUGCAAGAAUACCCGACAGUAACUGAAUAACCAGUCAAAGUCAAAGGUUCACCAACCAUCUAAAGCGCAAAGCAUUCAUUAAAGUUCACCCCAGGACAAGUAUCUGCACAUAUUCAGAAUCUGAGCAAAUGCAUCAGUUCAGAAUGAUCCAAUAAAUUAUAACAAAUGUGUUUACAAAGCAGAAAGUUAAAGUUAAAGAACAUGUGAUACAAAAGAAAAAGAAAGAGGAGAAGGUUCAGUCCUGCAACUAUUAAUGUCCUCCAAUCAUACUUUCAGCUUCAAUGAGACAGUGUCUGAAACCGCAGUCGAAGCAGUUGUACCACCAUGUUUCAAACAGCAGUGUGACAGCAUGUAUGCAAAAGGAAAUUUAUUCCAGGCCAGGUGAACCUUUGGAAGAAUUUGUUUCACAAGUACUGCCAGCUGCAGUGAUUCCUGCCAUUAUCUUACUGCUGGUAUUGACGACUGCAAUGCUCCAAGUCUCUGUUGAAAUCAGUGCUUCUGUUACUCACCCCUGGCAGCAGUGGACACCAGGACCAUCUCCAGCACCAGAAAGACCCAGAGCAGCUCCAUUGUGGUUUAGUUUUCAGCCUCUUUGAUCUGAAAGGAAGUGAUAUGAGAUAAAUACUUAUAGAUACUGAGAAAUAAUUUCACAUUUUAAUCUAUUAUAUAACAUUUCUGUACAGGAAUCGUCAAUUUAUCACAACUGCUGCAUUGUCCACCGUUAGAGUCUUUAUUCCCAGAAUUUUAUUCUAAGUGGUUAUUUAUCUUAAGGUCUUUUUAUUGAUCUCUCUCUGUAAGUCCUGGUUCUUAGAACCUGGAGCACUUUUUUUUUAUCUUUAUCCUUUAUCAUGUUAUUAUGUACUGUAUUAAGUGUUUACUCCUGUUGUUAUGUCGCAGUGUCCAUAUGUGUUUUUCUCUGUUCUUCGUAUCUAUGUAUGCAUGUACAGACUGCGGUGACAAAUUUCCUGUGAAGGACAAUAAAGUAUAUAUUAUUAUUAUAUAUUAUUAUCAUGGAUUAUGUUUGUCUAAUGCCUUGUGUUUUACUGCAAACCAAAUCUACCCAUGGGCACAAAUAAAGUAACCUUGAACCUUGA